RNAcentral lists this ribosomal RNA (1438 nucleotides) under uncultured organism. RNAcentral describes it as "SSU rRNA". It matches the Rfam family "Bacterial small subunit ribosomal RNA". The record is from RNAcentral.
CUUAACACAUGCAAGUCGAGGGGCAUCAGGAAGAAAGCUUGCUUUCUUUGCUGGCGACCGGCGCACGGGUGAGUAACACGUAUCCAACCUGCCCUUUACUCGGGGAUAGCCUUUCGAAAGAAAGAUUAAUACCCGAUAGUAUAAUCAUUCCGCAUGGUUUGAUUAUUAAAGGAUUCCGGUAAAGGAUGGGGAUGCGUUCCAUUAGGUUGUUGGUGAGGUAACGGCCCACCAAGCCUUCGAUGGAUAGGGGUUCUGAGAGGAAGGUCCCCCACAUUGGAACUGAGACACGGUCCAAACUCCUACGGGAGGCAGCAGUGAGGAAUAUUGGUCAAUGGGCGCGAGCCUGAACCAGCCAAGUAGCGUGAAGGAUGACUGCCCUAUGGGUUGUAAACUUCUUUUAUAUUAGAAUAAAGUGCAGUAUGUAUACUGUUUUGUAUGUAUAAUAUGAAUAAGGAUCGGCUAACUCCGUGCCAGCAGCCGCGGUAAUACGGAGGAUCCGAGCGUUAUCCGGAUUUAUUGGGUUUAAAGGGAGCGUAGGUGGACUGGUAAGUCAGUUGUGAAAGUUUGCGGCUCAACCGUAAAAUUGCAGUUGAUACUGUCAGUCUUGAGUACAGUAGAGGUGGGCGGAAUUCGUGGUGUAGCGGUGAAAUGCUUAGAUAUCACGAAGAACUCCGAUUGUGAAGGCAGCUCACUGGACUGCAACUGACACUGAUGCUCGAAAGUGUGGGUAUCAAACAGGAUUAGAUACCCUGGUAGUCCACACAGUAAACGAUGAAUACUCGCUGUUUGCGAUAUACAGUAAGCGGCCAAGCGAAAGCAUUAAGUAUUCCACCUGGGGAGUACGCCGGCAACGGUGAAACUCAAAGGAAUUGACGGGGGCCCGCACAAGCGGAGGAACAUGUGGUUUAAUUCGAUGAUACGCGAGGAACCUUACCCGGGCUUAAAUUGCAGUGGAAUGAUGUGGAAACAUGUCAGUGAGCAAUCACCGCUGUGAAGGUGCUGCAUGGUUGUCGUCAGCUCGUGCCGUGAGGUGUCGGCUUAAGUGCCAUAACGAGCGCAACCCUUAUCUUCAGUUACUAACAGGUCAUGCUGAGGACUCUGGAGAGACUGCCGUCGUAAGAUGUGAGGAAGGUGGGGAUGACGUCAAAUCAGCACGGCCCUUACGUCCGGGGCUACACACGUGUUACAAUGGGGGGUACAGAAGGCAGCUACCUGGUGACAGGAUGCUAAUCCCAAAAGCCUCUCUCAGUUCGGAUCGAAGUCUGCAACCCGACUUCGUGAAGCUGGAUUCGCUAGUAAUCGCGCAUCAGCCACGGCGCGGUGAAUACGUUCCCGGGCCUUGUACACACCGCCCGUCAAGCCAUGGGAGCCGGGGGUACCUGAAGUACGUAACCGCAAGGAGCGUCCUAGGGUAAAACUGGUGACUGGGGCUAAGUCA